UUGACUCCCAAACACUCUCAACCUCCAAACAAACCCAAAUCUGAGACCACACUGAGGUCUCAGAACCAUGAAAACCCUCCCCCGAGCUCUUAAACGGAUUAUCACUGUCCAGAGAUGUUCAGAACCCUGUGGAAAGGGUCAAGGUCCAGCUAAAGUGGUUUAAAUGGGAACAAAAUGAAAAGCUAAGUUUUCUUGCAUAUUUUUCAUUUCUUUAGCUUUUGAAUGCUUGAGUUUUUUAAUAAUUGAUUAGUUUCAGUAGCUACAUAUCUAAUAGUUGAAGUUCUUUUAUUUGAUUUAGUUGUUUAUCUGUUUGUCCACAACUUCAUCUAGGAUAGGUUCAUAUGUUUUGUUAGUCACUAGUCUGGAAACCUUCUCGUCUUUAAAAUAGUUCAAAAUCCUGUUGAAAUUAGCGUUUGAGCGGUGUGCUUCUCAUAAUUUGAUGAACUGUAGUUCUGAUUGGUUUGAUUGUUUGUUUGUGCGAAUGAGUGCCUGAUCUUUAUUUCAUAAUAGCUUUGGAU
This 518-nucleotide long non-coding RNA is filed under the name Nicotiana benthamiana. Its description in RNAcentral is "long non-coding RNA (NBEN_LNC034179)". The record is from RNAcentral. Lineage: Eukaryota; Viridiplantae; Streptophyta; Magnoliopsida; Solanales; Solanaceae.